GGGACCCAGGGCCGGCGAUAUAUAUUCGGACCCUACAGUCAAUAACCCAGGGAGCUGUCCCUGCUUGCGGUGUGCAUGCCCGGCCCGACCGGGAAGCCUGAAGCGAGUAAAUGGCGCCCACUUUGAAUUCCGGGUUCCAAUUGACUUCGCCUGUUCUGGGUCAAU
This 165-nucleotide non-coding RNA is filed under the name Bdellovibrionales bacterium GWA1_52_35. Its description in RNAcentral is "6S RNA". It matches the Rfam family "6S / SsrS RNA". Rfam says of the family: E. coli 6S RNA was the first non coding RNA to be sequenced, but its function was unknown until recently. It consists of 184 nucleotides that fold into an extended hairpin structure with a large single-stranded internal bulge. The record is from RNAcentral. RNAcentral also lists the same sequence under 3 other names. Lineage: Bacteria; Pseudomonadati; Bdellovibrionota; Bdellovibrionia; Bdellovibrionales.